Molecule: ribosomal RNA, 479 nt
Filed under: uncultured bacterium
Lineage: Bacteria
Description: bacterial SSU rRNA
Rfam family: Bacterial small subunit ribosomal RNA
Source: RNAcentral
GGCUACAGGACGAACGCUGGCGGCGUGCUUCAUACAUGCAAGUCGAACGAUAAGGUCUCUUCGGAGAUACAUAAGUGGCGGACGGGUGAGUAAAAUGUAGAGAAUCUGCCCUAGAGAUGGGGACAACAGUUGGAAACGACUGCUAAUACCCAAUAUGAGCGUAGUUGAAAUACUAUUCUUGAAAACUCCGGUGCUCUGGGAUGAGUCUGCAUCUGAUUAGCUAGUUGGAGGUGUAAUGGACCACCAAGGCGACGAUCAGUAGCUGGUUUGAGAGGAUGAUCAGCCACAAUGGGACUGAGACACGGCCCAUACUCCUACGGGAGGCAGCAGUAGGGAAUUUUGCGCAAUGGGGGAAACCCUGACGCAAGCAACGCCGCGUGAAUGAAGAAGCCCUUCGGGGUGUAAAGUUCUGUCAGUAGGGAAGAAUAAAUGACUGUACCUACAGAGGAAGCAUCGGCUAACUCCGUGCCAGCCGCCGC